Molecule: RNA transcript, 2517 nt
Organism: Daucus carota subsp. sativus
Lineage: Eukaryota; Viridiplantae; Streptophyta; Magnoliopsida; Apiales; Apiaceae
Gene name: GTP-binding protein yptV2-like
Exons: 9
Source: RefSeq, a predicted model, not a curated record
CAUGUUUUUGUGUCCACGACUGUCGACUCCACAUAGAUGGCAGAUAGUAUUCGGGUCGUGCAGAGCAUUCUACAGUCGUUUAGGAUACUGAAGCGGGUUGCCUUUCCUAGAUCGGGUUUUAGGGAAAAGGGGUUUAGCGUUGUUUCAAUCUUAUUUCAAUUGUGUUUACGCGCCACACUCUCCUUUUUCAAUGGAUGGUUCAUCAAAAAGGCGUGAUGGCCGAAAGUGUAACUGACCAAAGAGGCGAUUUAGACGAUUUACAAGAAGAUAGUCCUACCACCACUAAUCUCAACGAUGCCGACGAUGAACAUCAAAGAAGCUUAUUACCGUGGAGCCAUGGGUAUUUUGCCUAUUGCGACAAAAGAUUGAACUAUAAAGUUGCUUAAACUCUGGACAUGAUGAUAGCUUGCUUGUACGUGCCUGUGGUAUUUUCCUGUGUAAUUAGGGAAGUGUAGCAAUUCAGGUUAGCAUGCAGGAUAUGCACAGAAAAUGGCAAGCGUGUGGGAGAUGGUUGCUCAAGAUCAAUAACCACGUUGGAAGUUACAUGAAUGAUCGGCCUUUUGCUUCUGUGAAGAUAUCAGGAACUGGAUUCGUUACAUUGAACAACAUGCUUCUGAUAAUGUACACAAGAUUCUGGUGGGAAACAAGGCUGACAUGGAUGAAAGCAAAAGGGUCUGCUAUAUUCCCUUUAAUGUCGCGUACUUUGCAUGCAUGCAUGGUGUAUAGACUCUUUUAUUGCUGGCUUUAGAUGUCUCCAACAUUCAUCUGAGAAAAUCCCUUUUUUUUCCUAUAUCUCUUUUUUUUAGCAGAGGCUGUUCCCACCUCAAAGGGGCAGGCACUUGCUGAUGAAUAUGAAUGUAAAGACGAAUAUGAAUGUAGAAGAAUAAUAAGAAUGCAUUUUAAAUGAUAAGAUGGUAGACUUCCAUUUGAGUUUUCUGCUGUAUUUAGGGUCAAUGGAAUAAAAUUGAGAUUAUUCUUUCCCCUGCUUUUCUAAUAAAAAUGCCAACAAACAUAAUCUAAAAUUGGUAUACAAAAAUUCUCAGUAUGGUACUUGCAAAUAGAUAAGUUUUUUUUUUCAACUUUUAAGUUCCAUGUAUGAAAUUUGCUGGUGGAGCAUAGGUACAGGCAGUACCACACCCAGAUGCAUUUGGUAAUAUCUUGGUUUGAGCAAUCAACUGGAGUUGGCUUUGUCAAGCUAUACACCAGACACAGCCUUGCCUCUUCAGACCAUUUCCAAGAAAAUUCUGGCGUCUCAAGCAAGAGCUUAGGUAAAGAAGAUAGUCAAGGAGGGAAGAUGGAGGGUUCAAGGCUUAAAUUUAUUGAUAAUCAUCUCAAGCAACAAAAGUUCCUCGGCAGUUGGGAAUGAUCCAACACAAUGCUUGGAGACGUCAGAGAGGGUUUCCAGAAUAUUCUGUUUCAAUUCUUCAUGCUUGGCUAUUUGACCACUUCCUCCACCCUUAUCCCAAAGAUUCGGACAAACAUAUAUGCUCGCAAAGCAAACAAGUCUUAGUAGGAGUCAGGUGUCUAAUUAGUUCAUAAACGCCCGAGUGCGCUUCUGAAAGCCAAUGGUAGAAGAAAUGUACAUUGGGGGUGAGCUGUUUUGCUGUUAUACUAAUCAAGAGGCCCCUCCAGUUGUGUAAUCAUAUGUAAUUGCUGUCUACAGGUCCCAGCUCUUAUCUUUCUAGAGCCGGCGACGACAACUCAAAAAAUGUCCCAGCUCUUAUCUUUCUAGAGCCGGCGACGACAACUCAAAAAAUCCUUGAGAUGUGGCUAGGGGCAUAAUGUAAGCAACGAAAAGUUGGCUAUAAGACGAUUGGAAAUUAUUGACAUUGUUCCAUCUGCAACUUACACAUGGGAUUAUAUUGGUGGGAGCAACAUUAUUGACACAACUCUGUUCAGGUUAGAAAAGACUGGUCUUGGUUUGCUCGCUCUUAGCUAGAAUGGGGCAGGUUUCUUUCUCGUGUUCAAAGCUUUUUUAUUGCCACAGAAAAAUGGAAGGCAUGCAUGCACGAUGCACCUGCAUAUAAGCUUUUACAGGAAGUGAUGGAGUCCCGCAGAUGCACAAAUAAAGGCCAAAGCACAGACUUUCUUCCCCAUGAUGUAAUUCUGCAUCCGGGAAGAAUGUGAAGGGUGUGUUUUUUGUAACACCCAUCAAGAUUUACAGAUGGACAAGUCUGGUAUUGCAGGAGAAGUAGGUGUGAUGGCUGGUUUUUAUUGCAGUUUUUCUUGGAGAUCUAGCAAACCAGGAGAAGUAGGUGUAUUGGCUGGUUUUUAUUGCAGUUUUUUUUGGAGAUGUGGUUGGCUUGCUGUGUUUGGAAAUAAACAAAUCAAUCAUUCUUGGUUGAAAUUGUAUUCUUGGUUGAAAUUAAUCAUUCUUGCUUGUAAUUUAAAUUAUAUUAGCUAUAAUACAGAGAAUAUAUAGCACAGAGCCCGUGCCAAGGCACGGGCUUUUACGCUAGUUAUAUAUAUAAUAGAUCAACAUGCCACACUUUAUUCGGCAUGUAAUUAUUCUUUUAA